AUUCCAGCUCCAAUAGCGUAUAUUAAUGUUGUUGCAGUUAAAGAGCUCGUAGUUGGAUUUCUAGCCGACGUUAGUGGUCCCCAACGCUCAGCGUAGGGCGUACCGCACGCGUCGUCUAUCCUAUCAGUUUGUCUGGUUUCGGCCGGGCUGACUGGUUCUUUUACUUCGAAAAAAUUAGAGUGUUUAAAGCAGGCUUGCGCAAUGAAUACAUUAGCAUGGAAUAAUAAUAUAGGACUUCGGUCUCUACUUUAUUGGUUCUGGAGUUGAAGUAAUGAUUGAUAGGGAUAGUUGGGGGUGCUAGUAUUGAGUGGCCAGAGGUGAAAUUCUUAGAUUCACUCAAGACUAACUUAUGCGAAAGCAUUCACCAAGGAUGUCUUCAUUA
RNAcentral lists this ribosomal RNA (382 nucleotides) under Imbricatea sp. RNAcentral's name for it is "partial small subunit ribosomal RNA". It matches the Rfam family "Eukaryotic small subunit ribosomal RNA", at positions 582 to 975 of the family's 1831-position model. The record is from RNAcentral. Lineage: Eukaryota; Cercozoa; Imbricatea.